This 483-nucleotide ribosomal RNA is filed under the name uncultured bacterium. RNAcentral's name for it is "partial 16S ribosomal RNA". It matches the Rfam family "Bacterial small subunit ribosomal RNA", at positions 28 to 507 of the family's 1533-position model. The record is from RNAcentral.
GAUGAACGCUGGCGGCGUGCCUAACACAUGCAAGUCGAACGGAGUCGUUUUGGAAAUCUCUUCAGAGAUGGAAUUCUCGACUUAGUGGCGGACGGGUGAGUAACGCGUGAGCAAUCUGCCUUUAAGAGGGGGAUAACAGUCGGAAACGGCUGCUAAUACCGCAUAAAGCAUUAAAUUCGCAUGUUUUUGAUGCCAAAGGAGCAAUCCGCUUUUAGAUGAGCUCGCGUCUGAUUAGCUAGUUGGCGGGGUAACGGCCCACCAAGGCGACGAUCAGUAGCCGGACUGAGAGGUUGAACGGCCACAUUGGGACUGAGACACGGCCCAGACUCCUACGGGAGGCAGCAGUGGGGAAUAUUGCGCAAUGGGGGAAACCCUGACGCAGCAACGCCGCGUGAUUGAAGAAGGCCUUCGGGUUGUAAAGAUCUUUAAUCAGGGACGAAACAAAUGACGGUACCUGAAGAAUAAGCUCCGGCUAACUACGUG